CGGAAAAGGGUUUCCGCUGGGAUGUAGCCGCAGGGCUGAACCGUAAA
Molecule: non-coding RNA, 47 nt
Filed under: unclassified sequences
Description: eL15-Euryarchaeota ribosomal protein leader
Rfam family: eL15-Euryarchaeota ribosomal protein leader
Source: RNAcentral